This 497-nucleotide ribosomal RNA is filed under the name uncultured bacterium. Its description in RNAcentral is "partial 16S ribosomal RNA". It matches the Rfam family "Bacterial small subunit ribosomal RNA", at positions 28 to 507 of the family's 1533-position model. The record is from RNAcentral.
GACGAACGCUGGCGGCGUGCCUAAUACAUGCAAGUAGAACGCUGAAGGAAGGAGCUUGCUCUUUCUGGAUGAGUUGCGAACGGGUGAGUAACGCGUAGGUAACCUGCCUGGUAGCGGGGGAUAACUAUUGGAAACGAUAGCUAAUACCGCAUAAAAUUGAUUAUUGCAUGAUAGUCAAUUGAAAGGUGCAACUGCACCACUACCAGAUGGACCUGCGUUGUAUUAGCUAGUUGGUGGGGUAACGGCUCACCAAGGCGACGAUACAUAGCCGACCUGAGAGGGUGAUCGGCCACACUGGGACUGAGACACGGCCCAGACUCCUACGGGAGGCAGCAGUAGGGAAUCUUCGGCAAUGGACGGAAGUCUGACCGAGCAACGCCGCGUGAGUGAAGAAGGUUUUCGGAUCGUAAAGCUCUGUUGUAAGAGAAGAACGAGUGUGAGAGUGGAAAGUUCACACUGUGACGGUAUCUUACCAGAAAGGGACGGCUAACUACGUG